RNAcentral lists this ribosomal RNA (454 nucleotides) under uncultured bacterium. RNAcentral's name for it is "bacterial SSU rRNA". It matches the Rfam family "Bacterial small subunit ribosomal RNA", at positions 340 to 786 of the family's 1533-position model. The record is from RNAcentral.
UACGGAAGGCAGCAGUGGGGAAUAUUGGACAAUGGGCGAAAGCCUGAUCCAGCCAUGCCGCGUGUGUGAAGAAGGUCUUCGGAUUGUAAAGCACUUUAAGUGGGAGGAAGGGCAGUAAUUAAUACUUUGCUGUUUUGACGUUACCGACAGAAUAAGCACCGGCUAACUCUGUGCCAGCAGCCGCGGUAAUACAGAGGGUGCAAGCGUUAAUCGGAAUUACUGGGCGUAAAGCGCGCGUAGGUGGUUCGUUAAGUUGGAUGUGAAAUCCCCGGGCUCAACCUGGGAACUGCAUUCAAAACUGACGAGCUAGAGUAUGGUAGAGGGUGGUGGAAUUUUCCUGUGUAGCGGUGAAAUGCGUAGAUAUAGGAAGGAACACCAGUGGCGAAGGCGACCACCUGGGACUGAUACUGACACUGAGGUGCGAAAGCGUGGGGAGCAAACAGGAUUAGAUACC